GAUGAACGCUGGCGGCGUGCCUAAUACAUGCAAGUCGAACGAGGCCCCCACCUUCGGGUGGGAUGUCCUAGUGGCGAACGGGUGAGUAUCACGUUGGUGACCUACCCCGAAGAGGGGGACAACUCCGGGAAACUGGAGCUAAUACCCCAUGUGAUCCUAAGGACUAGAUGCCUAAGGAUGAAAGGGAGCAAUCCGCUUCGGGAGGGGCCUGCGGCCUAUCAGCUAGUUGGUGAGGUAAUGGCUCACCAAGGCGACGACGGGUAGGGGACCUGAGAGGGUGAUCCCCCACACUGGAACUGAAACACGGACCAGACACCUACGGGUGGCAGCAGUAGGGAAUAUUGCACAAUGGGCGAAAGCCUGAUGCAGCAACGCCGCGUGCGCGAUGAAGGCCUUCGGGUUGUAAAGCGCUUUUCUGGGGGACGAGAAAGGACGGUACCCCAGGAAUAAGUCUCGGCUAACUACGUG
This 468-nucleotide ribosomal RNA is filed under the name uncultured bacterium. RNAcentral describes it as "bacterial SSU rRNA". It matches the Rfam family "Bacterial small subunit ribosomal RNA", at positions 28 to 507 of the family's 1533-position model. The record is from RNAcentral.